RNAcentral lists this long non-coding RNA (1327 nucleotides) under Homo sapiens (human). Its description in RNAcentral is "HSALNT0024597". Lineage: Eukaryota; Metazoa; Chordata; Mammalia; Primates; Hominidae. The record is from RNAcentral.
CUUUAAGUGAUUCCAGUCUGCAGAGAAGUGGGUGUCAUUGCCUUAGAUGAAAGGACCCAACUCAUGGAGAUGCCUGGGAUCUUCUGGCCCUUCUCUAGUGAAUUUUUCUUACAAGAAACCCUUGGAGGAAAAGUACCCUGCAAAAUAUCAAGAAGUACAAACAACACUGUGAAGAAGAACUUCUGUGAAGAAGAAAUGGUAAGGGUUAAAGGGAAAAGGAUUCCACCAGUUUGGGAAAUCUGGGAAGAUAGAUAUACAAUGCUACAUCAGAAGUGCGAGGACUGAGUUUAUUCACAGCUGGAAAAGAGUCCGCAUCAAAGCAAAGACAAGAGUAUUACACUCUUCAAAUUGUAGCUUAGAGCAGUGUACUAAUGGGCCCUCUUCUGGGGCAUGGUGUCUGAAAGGACAUGUGUUUACAGAAACUCAGAGGUUGUAUUUAUUUCCACAGCAUCAUAUUUAAAGAGAUCAUAGGGUGAUGAAACAGAAGUUCUGCAGCAUAUGUAAAGAGAUGUUUUACAGAUAAAGGAAUAGUCCACAUCCGGAGUUCCUCUGCCUAUGUGAAUCCUGAGUUACUGGAUUUUUACAAUUUUUCUCCUUUUCAUAAAUCCAUUUAGUUUAUUGAACACAUGGUAUGUUCAUGAUUAGAAUGAAAUUGCCAGGAACACAGGACUUUGUUUUAUUCACACUUGAAUCCCCAGUGCCUAGAAGAAUACCUGGAAUAUAUUAAAAGCUCAAUAAAUAUGUGAGCACUUGAAUUAAUUGGUGACUGCCAAACUAUGUGCUGUAGAGGAAAUAAGAGGUGAUUGAAAUAUAGUUCUUUUCUUUUUAAAAAUUAUUAAUUGACACAUAAAAAUAGUACAUAUUUAUGAGCAACGGUGUGAUAUUUUGAUUCAUGUAUACAAUAUGCAAUGAUCAAAUCAGGAUAAUUAGCGUAUCUAUCACUUUAAACAUUUAUUAUUUCUUUGUGUUCAGAACAUCCAAAAUUCUCUCAUCUAGCUAUUUGAAAACACACAAUAAAUUAUUAUUAACUAUAGUCACCCUACAGUGGUAUAGAACACUAGAACUUAUUCCUCCUAAGUAGCUGUAAUUUUUUCAUAUAGUUCUUUUCUCCAUGAAGCUUAUUGUCUUUGUUUUUAGGGACUGGAGCCAUUUAAGAGUGGAUUAUUUUUGAAAAGUGUGAUCAUAAUUCUAAAAGUCACUGAAGUUUUCAUUGUGUUCUUGGCUUACCCAUGGGAUAAACUAGUUUCUCAUCCUCUGUCACUGUACACUCCAGUAACAUCUAUCCUUGCUUAAUGUGAAGUGACUUAAAAUGAGAUUAUAAUGCAGA